Molecule: ribosomal RNA, 253 nt
Filed under: uncultured bacterium
Lineage: Bacteria
Description: partial 16S ribosomal RNA
Rfam family: Bacterial small subunit ribosomal RNA
Source: RNAcentral
UACGAAGGGGGCUAGCGUUGCUCGGAAUCACUGGGCGUAAAGGGUGCGUAGGCGGGUCUUUACGUCAGGGGUGAAAUCCUGGAGCUCAACUCCAGAACUGCCUUUGAUACUGAGGAUCUUGAGUUCGGGAGAGGUGAGUGGAACUGCGAGUGCAGAGGUGAAAUUCGUAGAUAUUCGCAAGAACACCAGUGGCGAAGGCGGCUCACUGGCCCGAUACUGACGCUGAGGCACGAAAGCGUGGGGAGCAAACAGG